UACGUAGGUGACAAGCGUUGUCCGGAUUCAUUGGGCGUAAAGCGUGGGCAGGCGGCCCGUUAAGUCGGCCGUGAAAGCGCCGGGCUCAACUCGGCGAGGACGGGCGAGACUGACGGGCUCGAGGUUGGCAGAGGGCGGUGGAAUUCCGGGUGUAGUGGUGGAAUGCGUAGAGCUCCGGAGGAACACCAGUGGCGAAGGCGGCCGCCUGGGCCAAUACUGACGCUGAGCCGCGAAAGCGUGGGGAGCGAGCCGG
RNAcentral lists this ribosomal RNA (253 nucleotides) under uncultured bacterium. RNAcentral describes it as "partial 16S ribosomal RNA". It matches the Rfam family "Bacterial small subunit ribosomal RNA", at positions 524 to 776 of the family's 1533-position model. The record is from RNAcentral.